This 1542-nucleotide ribosomal RNA is filed under the name Salmonella enterica subsp. enterica serovar Derby. RNAcentral's name for it is "bacterial SSU rRNA". It matches the Rfam family "Bacterial small subunit ribosomal RNA". RNAcentral also lists the same sequence under 5 other names. Lineage: Bacteria; Pseudomonadati; Pseudomonadota; Gammaproteobacteria; Enterobacterales; Enterobacteriaceae. The record is from RNAcentral.
AAAUUGAAGAGUUUGAUCAUGGCUCAGAUUGAACGCUGGCGGCAGGCCUAACACAUGCAAGUCGAACGGUAACAGGAAGCAGCUUGCUGCUUUGCUGACGAGUGGCGGACGGGUGAGUAAUGUCUGGGAAACUGCCUGAUGGAGGGGGAUAACUACUGGAAACGGUGGCUAAUACCGCAUAACGUCGCAAGACCAAAGAGGGGGACCUUCGGGCCUCUUGCCAUCAGAUGUGCCCAGAUGGGAUUAGCUUGUUGGUGAGGUAACGGCUCACCAAGGCGACGAUCCCUAGCUGGUCUGAGAGGAUGACCAGCCACACUGGAACUGAGACACGGUCCAGACUCCUACGGGAGGCAGCAGUGGGGAAUAUUGCACAAUGGGCGCAAGCCUGAUGCAGCCAUGCCGCGUGUAUGAAGAAGGCCUUCGGGUUGUAAAGUACUUUCAGCGGGGAGGAAGGUGUUGUGGUUAAUAACCACAGCAAUUGACGUUACCCGCAGAAGAAGCACCGGCUAACUCCGUGCCAGCAGCCGCGGUAAUACGGAGGGUGCAAGCGUUAAUCGGAAUUACUGGGCGUAAAGCGCACGCAGGCGGUCUGUCAAGUCGGAUGUGAAAUCCCCGGGCUCAACCUGGGAACUGCAUUCGAAACUGGCAGGCUUGAGUCUUGUAGAGGGGGGUAGAAUUCCAGGUGUAGCGGUGAAAUGCGUAGAGAUCUGGAGGAAUACCGGUGGCGAAGGCGGCCCCCUGGACAAAGACUGACGCUCAGGUGCGAAAGCGUGGGGAGCAAACAGGAUUAGAUACCCUGGUAGUCCACGCCGUAAACGAUGUCUACUUGGAGGUUGUGCCCUUGAGGCGUGGCUUCCGGAGCUAACGCGUUAAGUAGACCGCCUGGGGAGUACGGCCGCAAGGUUAAAACUCAAAUGAAUUGACGGGGGCCCGCACAAGCGGUGGAGCAUGUGGUUUAAUUCGAUGCAACGCGAAGAACCUUACCUGGUCUUGACAUCCACAGAAGAAUCCAGAGAUGGAUUUGUGCCUUCGGGAACUGUGAGACAGGUGCUGCAUGGCUGUCGUCAGCUCGUGUUGUGAAAUGUUGGGUUAAGUCCCGCAACGAGCGCAACCCUUAUCCUUUGUUGCCAGCGGUUAGGCCGGGAACUCAAAGGAGACUGCCAGUGAUAAACUGGAGGAAGGUGGGGAUGACGUCAAGUCAUCAUGGCCCUUACGACCAGGGCUACACACGUGCUACAAUGGCGCAUACAAAGAGAAGCGACCUCGCGAGAGCAAGCGGACCUCAUAAAGUGCGUCGUAGUCCGGAUUGGAGUCUGCAACUCGACUCCAUGAAGUCGGAAUCGCUAGUAAUCGUGGAUCAGAAUGCCACGGUGAAUACGUUCCCGGGCCUUGUACACACCGCCCGUCACACCAUGGGAGUGGGUUGCAAAAGAAGUAGGUAGCUUAACCUUCGGGAGGGCGCUUACCACUUUGUGAUUCAUGACUGGGGUGAAGUCGUAACAAGGUAACCGUAGGGGAACCUGCGGUUGGAUCACCUCCUUA